Long non-coding RNA from Lemur catta (Ring-tailed lemur), 1116 nucleotides. RefSeq lists it as uncharacterized. The transcript is spliced from 4 exons. The record is from RefSeq and is a predicted model, not a curated record. NCBI's taxonomy places the organism in Eukaryota, Metazoa, Chordata, Mammalia, Primates, Lemuridae.
CAUCCUGUCAGAUCAGCAGCGGCAUUACAUUCUGCAUUACGUGAACUUUGAAAAGACAACAAUCAGACCAAGUCCCCACUUGAAAGUCCCACCUUAUGGCCCUGUCCUCACCGGGAAAGGUUCUGCUCCUUCCUGGAUAACAAAGCCUUCAAUGAUGUGGCAUUUCAGAAGUCAGUUACUCACCUCCAAGACUGCUCUUCUCCUCCAUGACCUUUGGGCUCUCUGCCACUGGAGAUACCUUAGCAGGAAGUAUUGAACUCAAUGUGGAGACAUCAUCUCUGUCCUCCUCAGACUCAGCUUUGCGUUUGACAGCCAAAGUCUGGGGUUUACCCUACAGAGUAAAGAAUAGGGGGGGAAAAAAAAAAAAAACCAAGAUUUGAGAGAGAAGGAUAAUAAGGAACUACAAUUACGCCGACACCUUAGAGAAAAUUUUCUUAGUUCCAGAUUCCCCAAUUGGUACAUUUCCCAUGGUACACUAAAAUUUCUGGUUAUGCCCAAGAAGUAUAACUUCUGUAUCAACACAAAAGAAAAUGGAUUAUUUAGUUCUGACCUAGGUCUCGAGAGCCUGUAUUCAUUAUGGACCAAGAACUAUCGUGUUCCCAAAGAUUGAUUUGGUUAAGGCUAUCUUGAUCCAACUUAACUAUGUAUGUAUCCAAAAACUCAAGAAUUAUUUCAGUAACAAAUUUAGGAGUAAGAAGGUCAGAUAUUAUAUACAUUAAUGUAUCUCUUGCUUACAAAAGGAGCAGAUAAAUACCAGCAUUAACCUUCUCAACUCUUUAUUCCCCUAUUAAAUUCAACUAUUGCCACUCAGUCCAGAUCCACUCUCAUUAAUGACAGUGCCCUGGAAACCAUCAGACAUCACUCACCGGCAAGUGUACAGACUGCAUGUAGAAGGAAGCGGGGACCUGGGCUACAACGGGACCAAGAGAAGCAGGAAAAAAAAAGAAGGCAAAGAAAUGUACUCUGAAGAUUUCAAAUGAGUCCUGAGAAAACAAUGUCAUUACAAGAGGUGACAACUUACCUGAGCUAAUAAGCGUCUGGCUCGGCGCAGGUGUGGCUGUCCGUGUCAGGUUCAUGCCCACGUUCUGCUGACCACUCCCAUCUGCUUCUGCCUUC